CAGCCGCCGCGGUAAUACGAAGGGUGCAAGCGUUACUCGGAAUUACUGGGCGUAAAGCGUGCGUAGGUGGUGGUUUAAGUCCGUUGUGAGAGCCCUGGGCUCAACCUGGGAAUUGCAGUGGAUACUGGGUCACUAGAGUGUGGUAGAGGAUAGUGGAAUUUCCGGUGUAGCAGUGAAAUGCGUAGAGAUCGGAAGGAACAUCUGUGGCGAAGGCGACUAUCUGGGCCAACACUGACACUGAGGCACGAAAGCGUGGGGAGCAAACAGGAUUAGAUACCCCCGUAGUCCCUGUCUCUUAUAC
RNAcentral lists this ribosomal RNA (301 nucleotides) under uncultured bacterium. Its description in RNAcentral is "partial 16S ribosomal RNA". It matches the Rfam family "Bacterial small subunit ribosomal RNA", at positions 509 to 807 of the family's 1533-position model. The record is from RNAcentral.